Molecule: ribosomal RNA, 286 nt
Filed under: uncultured bacterium
Lineage: Bacteria
Description: partial 16S ribosomal RNA
Rfam family: Bacterial small subunit ribosomal RNA
Source: RNAcentral
UUUGUCCUACGGGAGGCAGCAGUGGGGGAUAUUGCACAAUGGGGGGAACCCUGAUGCAGCGACGCCGCGUGGGUGAAGGAGCGUUUCGGCGCGUAAAGCCCUAUCGGCAGGGAAGAAGGAGGACGGUACCUGACUAAGAAGCCCCGGCUAACUACGUGCCAGCAGCCGCGGUAAUACGUAGGGGGCAAGCGUUAUCCGGAUUUAUUGGGUUUAAAGGGUGCGUAGGCGGACUGUUAAGUCAGCGGUAAAAGCCCGGGGCUCAACCCCGGCGAGCCGUUGAAACUGG